GACGUAGGGCGCGAGCGUUGUCCGGAUUUAUUGGGCGUAAAGAGCUCGUAGGCGGCUUGUCGCGUCGGAUGUGAAAUCCUGCGGCUCAACUGCAGGCUUGCAUUCGAUACGGGCAGGCUCGAGUUCGGUAGGGGAGACUGGAAUUCCUGGUGUAGCGGUGAAAUGCGCAGAUAUCAGGAGGAACACCGGUGGCGAAGGCGGGUCUCUGGGCCGAUACUGACGCUGAGGAGCGAAAGCGUGGGGAGCGAACAGG
This 253-nucleotide ribosomal RNA is filed under the name uncultured bacterium. Its description in RNAcentral is "partial 16S ribosomal RNA". It matches the Rfam family "Bacterial small subunit ribosomal RNA", at positions 524 to 776 of the family's 1533-position model. The record is from RNAcentral.